GUCUAAGGCCAUGCCACCCUGAAUGUGCCCAAUCUCAUUUGAUCUCAGAAGCUAAGUAGUGUCGGGCCUGGUUAGUACUUGGAUGGGAGACCACCUAGGAAGACCAGGUGCUGUAGGCC
This 119-nucleotide ribosomal RNA is filed under the name Pteropus alecto (black flying fox). The record is from RNAcentral. Lineage: Eukaryota; Metazoa; Chordata; Mammalia; Chiroptera; Pteropodidae.